AGGACGAACGCUGGCGGCGUGCUUAACACAUGCAAGUCGAGCGGUAAGGCCUUUCGGGGUACACGAGCGGCGAACGGGUGAGUAACACGUGGGUGAUCUGCCCUGCACUUCGGGAUAAGCCUGGGAAACUGGGCCUAAUACCGGAUAUGACCUCAGGUUGCAUGACUUGGGGUGGAAAGAUUUAUCGGUGCAGGAUGGGCCCGCGGCCUAUCAGCUUGUUGGUGGGGUAAUGGCCUACCAAGGCGACGACGGGUA
This 255-nucleotide ribosomal RNA is filed under the name uncultured soil bacterium. RNAcentral's name for it is "partial 16S ribosomal RNA". It matches the Rfam family "Bacterial small subunit ribosomal RNA", at positions 26 to 285 of the family's 1533-position model. The record is from RNAcentral.